UAACAUUCUAUCACUGGGUGCGUGAUGAUUGUGGUAGAGAUUUUCACAUAACGCCACCAUCACAUGUGACAUCUCUCCUGUCUCUCUGUAAUGCAGUCAUCAUACUCACAGUUGAUAUGUUUGACAUUC
RNAcentral lists this microRNA precursor (129 nucleotides) under Bombyx mori (domestic silkworm). The record is from RNAcentral. Lineage: Eukaryota; Metazoa; Arthropoda; Insecta; Lepidoptera; Bombycidae.